RNAcentral lists this ribosomal RNA (416 nucleotides) under Limneria undata. RNAcentral describes it as "SSU rRNA". It matches the Rfam family "Eukaryotic small subunit ribosomal RNA", at positions 562 to 971 of the family's 1831-position model. The record is from RNAcentral. Lineage: Eukaryota; Metazoa; Mollusca; Gastropoda; Littorinimorpha; Velutinidae.
UGGUGCCAGCAGCCGCGGUAAUUCCAGCUCCAAUAGCGUAUACUAAAGUUGUUGCGAUUAAAAAGCUCGUAGUUGGAUCUCAGGUAUGGGCGCGCGGUCCGCCUCGCGGCGGUCACUGUGUGUAUUUUUCCCAUCCUACGCUUCCCGGUUGUUAGCCCAUGGUGCUCUUUAUUGAGCGUUUUGGGUGGCCGGAACGUUUACUUUGAAGAAAUUAGAGUGUUCAAAGCAGGCACGUUGCCUGAAUAAUGGUGCAUGGAAUAAUGGAAUAGGACCUCGGUUCUAUUUUGCUGGUUUUCGGAACACGAGGUAAUGAUUAAGAGGGACAGACGGGGGCAUCCGUAUUGCGGUGUUAGAGGUGAAAUUCUUGGAUCAUCGCAAGACGAACAACUGCGAAAGCAUUUGCCAAGCAGGUUUUC